UACGGGGGGGGCAAGCGUUGUUCGGAAUUACUGGGCGUAAAGGGCUCGUAGGCGGCCAACUAAGUCAGACGUGAAAUCCCUCGGCUUAACCGGGGAACUGCGUCUGAUACUGGAUGGCUUGAAUCCGGGAGAGGGAUGCGGAAUUCCAGGUGUAGCGGUGAAAUGCGUAGAUAUCUGGAGGAACACCGGUGGCGAAGGCGGCAUCCUGGACCGGCACUGACGCUGAGGAGCGAAAGCCAGGGGAGCAAACGGG
This 253-nucleotide ribosomal RNA is filed under the name uncultured bacterium. RNAcentral describes it as "partial 16S ribosomal RNA". It matches the Rfam family "Bacterial small subunit ribosomal RNA", at positions 524 to 776 of the family's 1533-position model. The record is from RNAcentral.